RNAcentral lists this non-coding RNA (142 nucleotides) under Capsicum annuum. RNAcentral's name for it is "Bacterial large subunit ribosomal RNA". It matches the Rfam family "Bacterial large subunit ribosomal RNA", at positions 2308 to 2453 of the family's 2925-position model. Lineage: Eukaryota; Viridiplantae; Streptophyta; Magnoliopsida; Solanales; Solanaceae. The record is from Rfam by way of RNAcentral.
GCAUAAUGCACGUGGAACGUGGGAAUUCGGCCCUUGAGUGCAAAGGCAGAAGGGUGCUUGACUGCAAGACCCACCCGUUGAGCAGGGACGAAAGUCAGUCUUAGUAAUCCAACGGUGCCGAGUGGAAGGGUCGUCACUCAAC